AGUGAACGCUGGCGGUAGGCCUAACGCAUGCAAGUCGAACGGCGGCACAGUAAGAGCUUGCUCUUACGGGUGGCGAGUGGCGGACGGGUGAGGAAUACAUCGGAAUCUACUUUUUCGUGGGGGAUAACGUAGGGAAACUUACGCUAAUACCGCAUACGACCUACGGGUGAAAGCAGGGGAUCUUCGGACCUUGCGCGAUUGAAUGAGCCGAUGUCGGAUUAGCUAGUUGGCGGGGUAAAGGCCCACCAAGGCGACGAUCCGUAGCUGGUCUGAGAGGAUGAUCAGCCACACUGGAACUGAGACACGGUCCAGACUCCUACGGGAGGCAGCAGUGGGGAAUAUUGGACAGUGGCGCAAGCCUGAUCCAGCCAUACCGCGUGGGUGAAGAAGGCCUUCGGGUUGUAAAGCCCUUUUGUUGGGAAAGAAAAGCAGCAGGUUAAUACCCCGCUGUUCUGACGGUACCCAAAGAAUAAGCACCGGCUAACUUCGUG
Molecule: ribosomal RNA, 491 nt
Filed under: uncultured bacterium
Lineage: Bacteria
Description: partial 16S ribosomal RNA
Rfam family: Bacterial small subunit ribosomal RNA
Source: RNAcentral